GAUCCUGGCUCAGGACGAACGCUGGCGGCGUGCCUAACACAUGCAAGUCGAGCGGAGACAGUGAGUAGCUUGCUAUGAGCUGUUUUAGCGGCGGACGGGUGAGUAACGCGUGAGCAACCUUUCCCAGACAGGGGAAUAACACACCGAAAGGUGUACUAAUACCGCAUAAGACCACGGGAUCACAUGGUUCUGGGGUAAAAGAUUUAUCGGUUUGGGGUGGGCUCGCGUCCGAUUAGGUAGUUGGUGAGGUAACCGG
Molecule: ribosomal RNA, 256 nt
Filed under: uncultured bacterium
Lineage: Bacteria
Description: partial 16S ribosomal RNA
Rfam family: Bacterial small subunit ribosomal RNA
Source: RNAcentral